Cydia pomonella (codling moth) is the source of this 197-nucleotide long non-coding RNA. RefSeq lists it as uncharacterized. The transcript has 2 exons. Lineage: Eukaryota; Metazoa; Arthropoda; Insecta; Lepidoptera; Tortricidae. The record is from RefSeq and is a predicted model, not a curated record.
GUGUCGCGACGAACGCGAGCCUCAACAAAAUAGCAGUAGGAGGUAGAAGAGACUUUUCCCCGAUGGAACAAUGUUCGUAGGGGGAAUCAGUUGGACAGAAUAAAAGGAAGACCUGCGGGUGUAAAUCGGUGAGUGUUAGAAAUAUAGUUUCAUCAUUAUUUAGAUGAGAGAGAUGAAGGGAUAACUAAGAACGAGAA